UUUUUCUUUUGUUUUUCAAAGUUAAUGAAACAGCUUUAAGCAAAUGAUAAUUUUUCUGAUUUCUGAAUUGAUUUGAUAUACCUAUUUGUUUAACUGAAUUCUAAAUUCUUUUGAUAUAAUAGUUUGGGUUUACAAUAUGAAUAUAUAUAAGGGUUUUGUGAAUUGAUGAAUUGAUAUAUGAAUUGGUUUUGCUGAUUAUGAAUUUACUUUAUUAUUGAUUGUUGUUGCUGUGAUGAAUACCAUGCUUCUUUCAACCACCGGUUCUGUUCUUGUCGAGGCUUCGCCACAUGAUUUUUUUUGGGAUGGAGAUCGAGAUGGAAAAGGCUUAAACUAUCUUGUCCGCUUAUUGAUGAAGCUAAGAUCAGAGUUUCUUGGCGAGUCGUCAUCAUCGUGCGAUUCCCCUAGUAUAGCCGGAUAACUAUGUACAGAGCCACAGAAAAUAUUAUACCGUACCAGGUACUUGUGGUAGUGAUUAUUUUCAACAAUGGAAGUGUAUAUAGUGGUGACUGGAGAACUCCCGAAGUGAUGAAUGAACUUCACAAAGAUGAUCCUACUCCGACUUCCUUUGUUACGAAAGCAGGCUAACUUGUUGGGACACUUGAUGAACUCAAGUCUGCUCUUUUAAAAUCAGCUGUUAUUAAUGUUAUUGUUGAUUCCUAUACUAGUUCAGAGAGUGAGAGGUUGCAACACAAGAACUGAUUUUCAUAUUAUCUAUAUUAUGCUGAAAUUAUGCUUUCUAUUAUUUUCAUUUUUAGAUUUCAAAUUUCAAUAACACAAAUUACAUAGCCUUGUGAUUUUUUAUGAUGUACCAUGAAAUGAUAAAGACACAAACUAUAUUUCA
Arachis ipaensis is the source of this 841-nucleotide long non-coding RNA. RefSeq lists it as uncharacterized. NCBI's taxonomy places the organism in Eukaryota, Viridiplantae, Streptophyta, Magnoliopsida, Fabales, Fabaceae. The record is from RefSeq and is a predicted model, not a curated record.